AUGUAUACUAGCUGCGCUAUGGCUACACCCAGAGAGUUUAACGACGACCAGCCUGCACUGAGUCCCCGUCCCAGCAGGGUGCGACGCAUUCCCGGACAUCUGGAGGACUUCGAACUCACCUACCCAGCUCACCGUCUUUAUAGUACCACAGUAAGACCAGCAUCACCACUAAGCCCUGGGAGUUCCCCUAACUACCCUGCAGCUGGUCAUUAUGGUACGGCAAGUCCAGAGGAAAGAUGGCAGCGGCUGGAAGCACGUUGGCAAACGAUAAGCCAGCAGAUGAAAGAACUUGAAGUGGAAAUGGACAGGGUCAGAUUGCCUUCGUAUCCACAGAGUGCACAUCUGCCUUACCCUUCAUACCACUAUGCAGCAUUUCAGCCACAUUACAGUAGCCUCCCCCAUUUAGAACUGGGUUACCCUGUACGGCCUCCCAGUCCAAGAGCUGCACCUAACAUUCAGCACCAGGUUCUGCACGCUCCAACACAAGCCCCUGCUCCUCAAGCGCAGGUUGACACUGCUGCAUCAAACCCACAGCCUGCUUCAGAAGCAAUGUCUGUACCAGCCCCCGCAUCCACGGCUCCUCCAGCCUGCUCGCCGCCGUUGCCAACGCAGCCUGCACCUCCUGCUACUCUAAUGAUGCCUCAGCCAGUGUCCCCUAUCACACCACAGCCAGAACCACAUGUGCCUCAGCCAGUGCCCUCUACCACACUGUUACAGCCUGAGCAUGUUCCGCAAGAGCAGCAGUAUGAUGCACUCCCCAGGGCCUGGCAGUCUGUUCCACUGCCAUAUCCACCUGUGCAUUAUCCUAGACCACCCCGUGGUCAGCACUAUUAUCCAACAUCUCACCCAGUAGACAGUUCACAUCAGCCAAGUAUGAUGGAGAUGGCGAUUGCUUCAUCAUUUGGCAUUCCUAAACCCAAACUGACUGUAUUCAGCUCAGGGAAAGAGAGUGAUUUUCUUAUGCUCAAAAAGGGUCUGGACAGCUUACUUGGUCCGCACAAGCAUUUAAGUGAAGACUAUAAGUAUCAGAUUCUGCUUGACCAUCUCACAUUCCCAUCUGCACUUCAAGUGGCAAAGAGGUAUGUCAACAGUCAGACCCCAUACACAAGUGCCAUGCAAGCGCUCACACAGAGGUACGGACAGCCAAGGCAGCUAGUGCAGGGAGAACUGAAGGCCAUUCUGAAUGCCCCACCAGUCAGGGCCGGAGAUUAUCAAGCAUUUGAGGACUUUGCUACGGCAGUUGGAACUCUAGUGGGGAUGCUCAGUACAAUGGAGGGCCCCUCAUCGUCAGAGUUGAAGUGUGGGUCUCAUGUGGACACUCUACUCACCAAACUCCCCACUAACUAUCGAGAUGCAUUUGCUGAACAUUGCUUUAACCGAGGAAUUAUCCAAAGUGGCAGUGACCGUACAUACACUCUCCCUGACCUAGCCGAGUGGCUGGAAAGGAAGGCCCAGACUCUGCAAGUGUCUCGCCAAAUCACAAGCCCCUUCCCAGCUAUACCAGCACCGACUGAGUACAAGGACCGGAAAGCAGUGAGACAACAGAGGGUCAGACCUGCUACUAUUCUGCUUGGGAGUCAGCAGGGAUCGAAGCCCGCUAAUCCUUCUCCGAGCCCUGCCACUGUACCACACCUGAAGAAGAGAGAUCGUUUCAAGCCCUUCUGCCCUUAUUGUAAUAACCAGGAGCACUACCUCAAUGCCUGUGCUGACUUUGCCACGCUCACCUGUACUGCCAGAGCUACCUGGAUAAAAGAGAAAAAACGAUGUUGGAAAUGUGGGAGAGGACAUCCCCCAGGAAACUGCACUCUGAAGAAGCCCUGUGCAACAUGUGGAGAACAACAUCUGCUCAUACUACAUGAUGUUGCUGCUGCAGAGAGCAUCCUGACCGUAAAUACGUCCUCCAAUACGGUUUUCCUGGACCAAGUCAGCCAUUCAGGGCGAGUAAUGCUAAAGGUUGUCCCAGUGCGGUUGCAAAAUGGGGAGAAAACACUGGACACAUAUGCUGUCCUGGAUGAUGGCUCCGAAAGAACAAUCAUACUACCUGCUGCCGUCCAUCACCUUGGCCUUGUGGGAGCAGAAGAGAUUCUGUCCCUCAGGACAAUUCGACAAGAAAUCGUACAGCUGAAGGGAGCCACUGUAUCCUUUCAGGUGUCAGGUAUGACAAACCGAGUGAAGUAUGACAUUCACCAGGCUUUUACAGCAGCCGAAGUAACUCUGGCAGAGCAAUCACGUGCUGCUGACCUCCUGACACAACGAUACAAACACUUGAGAGGCUUAUCCCUGCAGUCCUUUGACAAAGUCCAGCCCCUGCUACUUAUCGGUUCUGAUAACCCUCACCUGAUAAUACCUACCCAGCCUGUGCGUACCGGUCCAGUUGGUGGCCCAGUGGCUGUGUGCACAAUGCUGGGGUGGGCGAUUCAGGGACCGGCAAGCUUUUUGCAGCAACCAACAGAUGAGAGAAGCUGUCUGCAUUUGUCCACUCUCUCCUCCUCAGAUGAGCUGCAUCAACAUGUCCAGAGACUCUGGCAGCUGGACACCCUACCCUUCCACACCAACAAGGAGGUGACGCGAUCAGGCGAAGAUAAAGCAGCCAUAGAACGACUGGAGCAAGGGACUGUCCGGGUCACCGUCGAUGGAGUGGCUCGCUAUGCUACUCCACUGUUGCGAAGACAGAAUGCACCUGUUCUUCGGGCACCUCCCACAGCAGUGAUGGCACUCCUCAGAGCGACAGAGCGACGUUUGUGUAACAGUCCAGAUCAAGCUGCUGUCUACAAUGAGGAAAUUCACAAGUUGGAGAAAGCUGGUUAUGUAGUAAAGAUCAGCAUGAAUGAGGUGAGCAGUUCUGCGGAAUCAUGGUUUAUCCCGCACCACAUUGUGUACCACAACAACAAGCCCAGAAUUGUCUUCAACUGCUCCUUUAACUACAAGCAAGCUUCACUUAACAAGAACCUGCUUCCUGGCCCGGUUCUUGGGUCAACACUGCUUGGCGUGCUGUUGAGAUUCAGAGAGUAUGCUGUGGCUAUCAGUGGAGAUAUUCGCGGCAUGUUCCAUCAGGUGCGCCUUCUGCCUGAGGACCAGCCACUUCUACGCUUCUUAUGGCGAGACGGGGAGAGGGAGCGCCGCCCAGACGUGUACGAGUGGCGUGUCCUUCCUUUCGGGACCACAUGUAGCCCAUGCUGUGCUACAUAUGCCCUGCAGCGCCAUGUAAAGGAUCACAGCGAAGAGAAUGAAGAGGUACUGUACUCGGUGCUCCAUGCAUUCUAUGUGGAUAACUGCUUACAGUCUCUACAAUCUCAGACUCAGGCAAAGGACCUGAUAGACAAGAUGAGAGCCCUCCUUGCCAGUGGAGGAUUUGAGAUAAGGCAGUGGGCUAGCAACGCACCGGAGGUUAUUUCUCACCUACCAACAGAAGCCAAAUCAACUGAGUGUGAGUUAUGGCUGACCACUAACAAGACUGAACCACAAGAGUCUUCCCUUGGUCUCAUGUGGCGCUGCAGCUCUGACACAUUGGGAUACAAGCACCGUGCCAUUCCACGUACUGCACCAACCCUGAGAUAUGUUUACAGAGUACUGGCAAGCCAAUAUGACCCAUUAGGUUAUAUCAUUCCCUUUACAACGCGAGCCAAGGUUCUGGUUCAGGCACUCUGGAAGAAAGAGAGGGGUUGGGAUGAGCCGAUUGCUGAUGAGCUCCUGUCCGUGUGGUUAGCAUGGGAAAGUGAGCUGCCAUACUUGCCAAACCUCAGCUUGCCAAGGUGUUACACUCCUGGUAUCUCGGCUGGGAGCCCCGUGAACCUGCACAUCUUCUGUGAUGCCUCAGAGAGAGCCUAUGGUGCAGUUGCAUACCUGAGAGUAGAGACUGACAGCAAUGAAGUUAAAGUGGCAUUUGUGAUGGCCCGAUCUCGUGUGGCACCCAAAAGGCAGCUUUCAAUACCUCGCCUGGAACUCUGCGCUGCCCUAGCAGGAGCACAGUUAGCCAAAGUCCUGCAGACCGAGUUAACCCUGCCACUACAGACAACUACCCUGUGGACAGAUUCGACCACUGUCCUUCACUGGAUCCAGUCUGAAUCCCAGCAGUAUAAAGUGUUUGUGGGAACCCGAAUAGCAGAAAUUCAAGAGCUUGUUGGAGCUGAGAGCUGGAGAUAUGUUCCCUCUGAAGAGAACCCUGCCGAUGACAUCACACGUGGGAAAUCCUUAAAGGAUUUAACUAAGCCAGACCGCUGGACAGAUGGCCCAGCAUUCCUCCAUCAGCCUCCCGCUAGCUGGCCUACGCACCCCACGGUGAGCUCGAUGCAGAAGGAAGAGAUCCGCGACACCAUCUUCUGUGGCAACAUUUCCACAAGCAGCCCGCUGACGCCUGAUCUGACCCAGUUCAAAUCCUGGACCGAGCUGAUACAUGCCACAUAUCACGCCCUCCACGGGGCGGCCGCUCCACCCAUGACUGCCUCCAGUCGUAGGGAGGCAGAAAUUGCCCUACUGAAAAGGUCACAAAGUGAGAGCUUCCCGGCAGAGCUUGCUGCAUUGCAGUCAGGUAAAACUGUCAGCCCUAACAGCCGCUUGCUGUCGCUUUCACCUGAAUUAGACCAUACUGUCGGGUUGAUCAGGGUUGGAGGUCGUCUCCGGAGGGCUGAAAAUCUGAAAGAGGACACUAUCCAUCCUAUAGUUCUUGCACCAGAUCACCCUGUCACAACGCUGUUAGUGCAGGACUAUGAUAACCGUCUGUUACAUGCAGGUCCUGACCGUAUAUUCGCAGAGAUAAGGAGGACCUACUGGAUACUUCGCGGCCGACAGAUUAUCAAGAGACAUCAACGCAGUUGUGUGGAAUGUUGUAAAUGGCGCAGCAAACCAGUCACUCCCCAGAUGGCAGACCUACCAGCUGCACGACUACGCAUCACUAAACCACCAUACUGGUCCACUGGAGUCGACUGCUUCGGCCCUUACACCAUAAAAAUCGGACGGAGGCAUGAGAAAAGGUGGGGUAUUAUCUUUAAAUGUCUGACCACCAGGUGCGUACAUCUGGACCUCUUGUGCAGCAUGAACACGGAUUCAUUCUUGCUUGCCCUUCGGCGCUUUGUUGCAAGAAGAGGAAAACCCUUUGAGAUUCUCUGUGAUCGUGGCACCAACUUCAGAGGAGGAGAGAGGGAACUCAGAGAAGAUUUUGCUGCUAUGGAACCAGUUUUGAAGCAACAGCUCAGUGAACAGAGUAUCGAUUUCAAAUUCAAUCCACCACUUGCUCCACAUUUUGGAGGCACAUGGGAGAGGGAAAUCAAGUCGGUCAAAGCUUCCCUGCGUGUCGUCCUGAAAGACCAAGCCGUCCCAGAAGAAGUGCUGAUGACUAUGCUUGUAGAAGUGGAGGGCAUUCUUAACUCGAAACCUCUUGGUUAUGCAACAUCAGACAUUGCGGACCCUGAUCCCAUUACCCCUAACCUUCUGCUUAUGGGGCGGAAAGACGCAUCCCUACCACAAGCAGUGUACAGCAAGAGUGACCUACUGGGACACCGCCGCUGGAGACACAGCCAAGUGCUUGCCGACCAUUUCUGGGUUCAGUUCACUCGCAAUUACCUACCGAACCUUCAGCUCCGUCAAAAGUGGCGCAUCGGUACCCCAGAUCUCACAGUAGAUCGAGUGGUCAUGGUGAUUGACCCACAGCUACCAAGGGCUCUGUGGCCAGUUGGGCGGGUAACUAAAGUAAUCCCCAGCGAUGAUGGCAAGAUACGCACAGCUGAGGUCGACAUAAAGGGAGCUAAAUACAUUCGCCCCGUGACGAAGCUCGUCACUCUUCCAAAAUUGCCAGAGGACUGA
Molecule: long non-coding RNA, 5799 nt
Filed under: Oreochromis niloticus (Nile tilapia)
Lineage: Eukaryota; Metazoa; Chordata; Actinopteri; Cichliformes; Cichlidae
Description: lncRNA (ENSONIG00000035474.1)
Source: RNAcentral